CCAUUUGGAUUUGUAGCAUGUGACAAGUAUUACAUUAUAGUAUGUGGCACGAUCCCGAUACAUUAACUUGCAUGACUCUUGGCAAUGGAUAUCUUGGCUCUUGCAUCGAUGAAGAACAUAGCAAAAUAUGAUACUUGGUGUGAAUUGCAAAGUCUUGUGAAUCAUCGAGUAUUUGAACGCAAGUUACGCUCAAUGCUGUCAGGCUAAGGGCAUUCAUGCUUGGGUAUCACGCUUAUCGACACUCUCUGCCUUUUGUAAUUUUUUGUCUUGCGAUUAGACAGUAGGCAUCGAUGUGGAGAUUGCCCCCCCAUACAUAAUUAGGUGGUGGGUCUGAUUGUUGGUUGUCCAUCGUGGUGGAUGUGGCGAGUGGUGGAUUGACACGCAUGCUAUCACGGAAGUAACUCAGCUUGGGUGACGCGCCGGAGUAACCCAUGCUAAUUGGUAACAUGUGAGUAUUACUUGGAACAUGACCCCAGGUCAGGUAGGGUCACCUGCUGAG
Molecule: ribosomal RNA, 499 nt
Filed under: embryophyte environmental sample
Lineage: Eukaryota; Viridiplantae; Streptophyta
Description: eukaryotic LSU rRNA
Rfam family: 5.8S ribosomal RNA (bases 74-229)
Source: RNAcentral